AAUCAACGCUGGCGGCGUGCCUAACACAUGCAAGUCGUACGCGAAAGGGGCUUCGGCCCUGAGUAGAGUGGCAAACGGGUGAGUAACGCGUGGGUGACCUGCCUUCGAGCGGGGAUAACGUUCCGAAGGACGCUAUACCGCAUGACAUCCUGUCUUUAGACAGACGGAGAUCAAAGCCGGGGAUCGCAAGACCUGGCACUCGAAGAGGGGCCCGCGUCCGAUUAGCAGUUGGUGAGGUAAUGGCUCACCAAGGCGACGAUCCGUAGCUGGUCUGAGAGGACGACCAGCCACACUGGGACUGAGACACGGCCCAGACUCCUACGGGAGGCAGCAGUGGGGGAAUAUUGGACAAUGGGGGCAACCCUGAUCCAGCAAUGCCGCGUGUGUGAAGAAGGCC
Molecule: ribosomal RNA, 397 nt
Filed under: uncultured bacterium
Lineage: Bacteria
Description: bacterial SSU rRNA
Rfam family: Bacterial small subunit ribosomal RNA
Source: RNAcentral